AAGAAUGAAAAACAUUAUUUAGGUGAUGCUCCAGAGAUGAAGUGUUCUCCAGGCUUCGUGACUGUGGUACUCAUAUUGCUUGGACAAACACAUGGAGACUCAGUGACUCAGACAGAGGGCCAAGUGACCCUCUCAGAAGAGGCUUCCCUGACUAUAAACUGUACCUAUUCAGCAACUGGGUAUCCAAAUCUCUUCUGGUAUGUCCAGUAUCCAGGAGAAGGUCUAGAGCUCCUCCUGAAAGCCAUGAAGGACAAGGAGAAAGGAAGCAACAAAGGAUUUGAAGCCACCUACAACAAAGAUUCCAAAUCCUUCCACUUGGAGAAAGGCUCAGUGCAAGCCUCAGAUUCAGCUGUGUACUACUGUGCCAUGUACGACACAGUGAUGGGGACUGCAGGGGGAGCUGAGCACAAACUCUGA
Neogale vison (American mink) is the source of this 417-nucleotide non-coding RNA. NCBI's taxonomy places the organism in Eukaryota, Metazoa, Chordata, Mammalia, Carnivora, Mustelidae. The record is from the annotation of a RefSeq genome assembly.